AAUAAAUUUUAUAAUGAUUUUAAAAUUAAUUAUAUUUUAAUAUUUAUAUAAAAUAAUUUAAAAUUAAAAAUAAAAUUUAAUUUAAUAAUUAAAUUUAAAUAAUUAAUGAAAAUUAAAUUUAGGAAAAAAAAUUAAUAAAGAUUAAUUAAGUGCCAGCAAUAGCGGUUAAACUUAAUUUAUAAAUUAAUUAAAUCAAUUAAUAUUAAUUUAUAAUAUAUUUUAAAUUUAAUUAUAAUUUUAAAUUUUAAGUGAAAUUUAAUUUAUAAAUAUUUUAAAUUUUAUAUUAAUUAAUAUAAUAAAAUAAUUAAAUAAACUAGGAUUAGAUACCCUAUUAUUUAAAAUAAAUAAUUUAAUUUAUUAAUAAAUGUAAAAUCAUUAAAAUUAAAUUAUAUGGCGGCUUUUCAUUCUUAUUAGAGAAAUUUGUAGUUUAAUUUGAUAUUCCACGAUAAGAAAUACUUAAAUUAAAUUUAUAUAUUGUUGUUUAUUUCUAUAUUAAAUUAUUUUUAAUUAAUAUUUAAUUUAAAAUAAUAAAUCAAAUCAAAAUGUAGUAUAUUUAAGAAUUUAUGAAUUAUAAUAAAUUUAAUUUUAGGAUAAUUAAAUUUUAAAAUUAAUUUGAAAGAGGAUUUAAAAGUAAUUUUAAUAAAUUAAUUAAAAUGAAAAUAGUUUUGAAAAGUGUACAAAUUGCCCGUCAAUUUCAAUAAAAUGGAAUAAGUCGUAACAUAGUAAAAAUAUUGGAAAAUGUUUUUAGAUAUAA
Molecule: non-coding RNA, 754 nt
Filed under: Bombus filchnerae
Lineage: Eukaryota; Metazoa; Arthropoda; Insecta; Hymenoptera; Apidae
Source: RNAcentral